GAUGCCUUUAACCGGGUGUCGGGGGCGGACGGCACGUUUACUUUGAACAAAUUUGAGUGCUCAAAGCAGGCUUAUGCCUGAAAAUUCUUGCAUGGAAUAAUGGAAUAGGACUUCGGUUCUAUUUUGUUGGUUUUCGGAUCCGAAGUAAUGGUUAAGAGGGACAGACGGGGGCAUUUGUAUGGCGGUGUUAGAGGUGAAAUUCUUGGAUCGCCGCCAGACAAACUACAGCGAAAGCAUUUGCCAAGGAUGUUUUCAUUGAUCUGGAGCGAAAGUCAG
Molecule: ribosomal RNA, 276 nt
Filed under: Collyriclum faba
Lineage: Eukaryota; Metazoa; Platyhelminthes; Trematoda; Plagiorchiida; Collyriclidae
Description: partial 18S ribosomal RNA
Rfam family: Eukaryotic small subunit ribosomal RNA
Source: RNAcentral